GAAAUGCGAUAAGUAAUGCGAAUUGCAGAAUUUCCGUGAGUCAUCGAAUCUUUGAACGCACAUUGCGCCCUUUGGCAUUCCGAAGGGCAUGCCUGUUCGAGCGUCAUUAUCCUCCCUCCAAAACCCUGCUUUACCGCGGGCGUUUCGGGUGUUGGACCGCGUUGGACCGCUCGCGGCCAACUGGUCUCAAAGACAAUGACGGGCGUCCAUGGGACCCUCUUCGCACUGAGCUUUCCGGAGCACGCGUCGAGUUGCAAGGUCUUGUGGGCCCGGCCACCUCUAAAUCUAUUUUUUCAGGUUGACCUCGGAUCAGGUAGGAAUACCCGCUGAACUUAA
RNAcentral lists this unclassified non-coding RNA (336 nucleotides) under uncultured Chaetothyriales. RNAcentral describes it as "sequence contains ITS1". The stretch from base 1 to 106 matches the Rfam family "5.8S ribosomal RNA", at positions 50 to 154 of the family's 154-position model. The record is from RNAcentral. Lineage: Eukaryota; Fungi; Ascomycota; Eurotiomycetes; Chaetothyriales.